GGUCUACCCGAGCGCCUCCUGCGAACAAAGAAGAAGGGGGAUCAGUCCUUUUCUUGGAUUCCGGAGAAGGGAUUUCCCUACAGCCGCGAGCUCCUGGUAGGCGCCUGCUGGCCUCCUGACCAAGAUGGCCUGCUGCGAGGGGGUUCGUAGUCUCCAGAGUUUCCUGGAAAAGACGCAGAGUGAGACGAGAACUGCCGGCUACCCGUAUAUCUACCUUACCUGGUCUGGACUUGGAGACAGCUUGGCCUGGCGAUCAGGAAGUGUCCUAUGCCAAGUCAAGGAUUAGGUCUGAAGUUCUCUGCUGCUCCUGUCCUGCUCUCCGGUGACCACCGACGGCUGGUUCAUGGAUGACGUUUUUCUGUGCCGGAGUUGUGCCAUGCUGGUCCCACCAUCACGCCACGCA
Cloeon dipterum is the source of this 403-nucleotide long non-coding RNA. RefSeq lists it as uncharacterized. NCBI's taxonomy places the organism in Eukaryota, Metazoa, Arthropoda, Insecta, Ephemeroptera, Baetidae. The transcript is spliced from 3 exons. The record is from RefSeq and is a predicted model, not a curated record.